Molecule: ribosomal RNA, 467 nt
Filed under: uncultured bacterium
Lineage: Bacteria
Description: partial 16S ribosomal RNA
Rfam family: Bacterial small subunit ribosomal RNA
Source: RNAcentral
GACGAACGCUGGCGGCGUGCUUAACACAUGCAAGUCGAACGGUGAAGCUCCAGCUUGCUGGAGUGGAUCAGUGGCGAACGGGUGAGUAACACGUGAGCAACCUGCCCCUGACUCUGGAAUAAGCGCUGGAAACGGCGUCUAAUACUGGAUACGAGAAGGGUCCGCAUGGGCACUUUCUGGAAAGUUUUUCGGUUGGGGAUGGGCUCGCGGCCUAUCAGCUUGUUGGUGAGGUAAUGGCUCACCAAGGCGACGACGGGUAGCCGGCCUGAGAGGGCGACCGGCCACACUGGGACUGAGACACGGCCCAGACUCCUACGGGAGGCAGCAGUGGGGAAUAUUGCACAAUGGGCGAAAGCCGGAUGCAGCGACGCCGCGUGGGGGAUGACGGCCUUCGGGUUGUAAACCUCUUUCAGCAGGGAAGAAGCGAAAGUGACGGUACCUGCAGAAGAAGCACCGGCUAACUACGU